This is a long non-coding RNA of Cyprinus carpio (common carp), 399 nucleotides long. RefSeq lists it as uncharacterized. Lineage: Eukaryota; Metazoa; Chordata; Actinopteri; Cypriniformes; Cyprinidae. The record is from RefSeq and is a predicted model, not a curated record. The transcript has 4 exons.
GUAAAGAGUGUGAAAAAUCAAGAUUCCAAACUGUGAUGAACUUUUGAAACACAUUGUCCUUCUUGAUCUUCCUGGGAUUGGAGACUGCAAUAAGACUAGAGAAGAUCUGUGGAAAUCUAAACUGAGAGAGUGCUCUUCUGUGUGGAUUGUAAGUGAUAUCAAUCUCGAGCAAUCACUGACAAAGAUCCCUGGGGGAUAUUUAAAGCACUGCAUUCAGGACUUGGGACCAGGAGGAGAAUGUAAAAACAUUAGCUUCAUCUGUACAAAGACUGAUGAUAUCAAUCCAGGAGCCUACAUGAGAGGUUCACGGCUGACUAAAGAUGAAAUAGGAAACAAGGAUCAGACAGCAGUGUGCAUACUUCACAGAAACAAAACCACUAAGGAAUCAAUAAAAAAAAA